GGGUGGCGUCUUUCAGCCUCCGGGACCUUAUAGCCUUAUAGGAAUAUAUAUCUCGGUGAUUUUUCAUCCCGCAUUUAAGAGCCGACGGCUUGGGGGUUUAUAGACCAAGGAGGACGAAUCCCACAAGGUUAUGAAAGUCCUCAUGGAAUUUCAAAUACAGUUAAGGAAAAACGCAAAGGAAGGAAUUAUGCACGGAAACAGUACAUGUAAUUAUUCCUUAGCGAAUUCGCUAUAUCGUCACUAUACAUGUAUUGACGCAUCCGCUAUCUCGUCAUUGAAAGAUUGACGUAAAAGCAAACGUGCUUAGGAUGCGUGUUACGGUGUAACGGAAAGAAUUGUACAUGUGUACGACGUAAUAGAUCGUUGCGGCAUUUUACUCAGGUUUUAACCUAGUCGCACUUGUGUCCCUUGAAAGGCAUCCGUUGUGUUGCUGCUGUGUGGCCGCAUACGGUACAACAUGUAACAUCUGGUCUUGCCUAUCCUUGUCUUGCUCUGUGUCUUGCUGUGUCGCGUCCUCAGCUCUGUAAUUCGUUUGCGUGUUUGUCCCAGUUGGGUCGGUCCUGAGGAAUGUAUAGAAGGGCAUAUGGCGGCCGCGGUUGCGUUGUUAGGAGGAACGUUGACGGCCGUUGGUCGCGGCGUGACCUUUCUGCCGGUCAUUUCGGUUGGCUCCUGAGUCUGAUUUCUUGUCCAUCUCCUCCAUUCUCAACAAUAAAUGCACCGGAGUAUCAGUAUAUCGCGUUGAAUUGCGUCCCUGCGGCGGGAGGACAGUGACCGAUCGGUCGCGACAAGAGUGGUAGCACUACCGUGCUCCCCUGCUCCUAUGCCCUACAAAAUUAACAACAUUCUACCUUUUUAUUCGCUCGAUGUGCGGCUGUGCACCUCAAAUUUUAUUUAAGGGAGAGGAAGGUGACAAGUUGGCAUUUGCUGCGAUCCGCGGCCAGGAGACUGCAG
Molecule: long non-coding RNA, 951 nt
Filed under: Volvox carteri
Lineage: Eukaryota; Viridiplantae; Chlorophyta; Chlorophyceae; Chlamydomonadales; Volvocaceae
Description: long non-coding RNA (VCAR_LNC001844)
Source: RNAcentral